RNAcentral lists this ribosomal RNA (460 nucleotides) under uncultured bacterium. Its description in RNAcentral is "partial 16S ribosomal RNA". It matches the Rfam family "Bacterial small subunit ribosomal RNA", at positions 338 to 795 of the family's 1533-position model. The record is from RNAcentral.
CCUACGGGGUGCUGCAGUGAGGAAUAUUGGUCAAUGGCCGUAAGGCUGAACCAGCCAAGUAGCGUCAGGGAAGACUGCCCUAUGGGUUGUAAACCUCUUUUAUGCGGGGAUAAAGGUGUCCACGUGUGGAUGUUUGCAGGUACCGCAUGAAUAAGGACCGGCUAAUUCCGUGCCCGCAGCCGCGGUAAUACGGAAGGUCCGGGCGUUAUCCGGAUUUAUUGGGUUUAAAGGGAGCGUAGGCCGGUCUUUAAGCGUGCCGUGACAUUUUGUGGCUUAACCAUGAGAGUGGGGCGCGAACUGGAGACCGUGAGUGCGCGGAGGGCAGGCGGAAUUCGUGGUGUAGCGGUGAAAUGCUUAGAGAUCACGAAGAACCCCGAUGGCGAAGGCAGCCUGCCGCAGCGUUACUGACGCUGAAGCUCGAAAGCGCGGGUAUCGAACAGGAUUAGAUACCCUGGUAGUC